CCUACGGGAGGCAGCAGUGGGGAAUCCUGCGCAAUGGGCGAAAGCCUGACGCAGCAACGCCGCGUGCGGGAAGAAGGCUUUCGGGCUGUAAACCGCUUUCAGCAGGAACGAAAAUGACGGUACCUGCAGAAGAAGGAGCGGCCAACUAUGUGCCAGCAGCCGCGGUGAUACAUAGGCUUCAAGCGUUGUCCGGAUUUAUUGGGCGUAAAGAGUUCGUAGGCGGUCGAGUAAGUCGGGUGUGAAAAUUCUGGGCUCAACCCAGAGACGCCACCCGAUACUGCUUGACUUGAGUUCGAUAGGGGAGUGGGGAAUUCCUAGUGUAGCGGUGAAAUGCGCAGAUAUUAGGAGGAACACCGGUGGCGAAGGCGCCACUCUGGAUCGAUACUGACGCUGAGGAACGAAAGCAUGGGUAGCAAACAGGAUUAGAUACCCUGGUAGUCCAUGCCGUAAACGGUGGGCACUAGGUGUGGGUUUCUAUUAACGAAAUCCGCGCCGUCGCUAACGCAUUAAGUGCCCCGCCUGGGGAGUACGGUCGCAAGCUAAAACUUAAAGAUAGUAAGGCGUGUUGAGUAGCGACGAGACGACGACGGAGGGAGGAG
RNAcentral lists this ribosomal RNA (599 nucleotides) under uncultured bacterium. RNAcentral describes it as "bacterial SSU rRNA". It matches the Rfam family "Bacterial small subunit ribosomal RNA", at positions 338 to 1331 of the family's 1533-position model. The record is from RNAcentral.